Molecule: non-coding RNA, 25 nt
Filed under: Cricetulus griseus (Chinese hamster)
Lineage: Eukaryota; Metazoa; Chordata; Mammalia; Rodentia; Cricetidae
Source: RNAcentral
AGGAAAAGACUCAGACAGGAUAUUC